AUGAAAAUGUGAAACCUCUCCCGC
This 24-nucleotide microRNA is filed under the name Gallid alphaherpesvirus 2. RNAcentral describes it as "mdv1-miR-M3-5p". Its record names the gene mdv1-miR-M3-5p. The record is from miRBase by way of RNAcentral. Lineage: Duplodnaviria; Heunggongvirae; Peploviricota; Herviviricetes; Herpesvirales; Orthoherpesviridae.